AAUUUGUGGUGUGGGCAAGCUCUCAUUAACUCCUUAUAUCUCUCUCACGCUUCAAAAAGUGAUUCAUCGUCCAUCUGCAUGAAACAUAUAAUUUGGUUCCUAAGUU
Small nucleolar RNA from Medicago truncatula (barrel medic), 106 nucleotides. The record is from RefSeq and is a predicted model, not a curated record. Lineage: Eukaryota; Viridiplantae; Streptophyta; Magnoliopsida; Fabales; Fabaceae.